RNAcentral lists this ribosomal RNA (466 nucleotides) under uncultured bacterium. Its description in RNAcentral is "partial 16S ribosomal RNA". It matches the Rfam family "Bacterial small subunit ribosomal RNA", at positions 28 to 507 of the family's 1533-position model. The record is from RNAcentral.
GAUGGACGCUGGCGGCGUGCUUAACACAUGCAAGUCGAACGGAAAGGCCCAAGCUUGCUUGGGUGCUCGAGUGGCGAACGGGUGAGUAACACGUGGGUGAUCUGCCCUGCACUUUGGGAUAAGCCUGGGAAACUGGGUCUAAUACCGGAUAGGACCAUCGUUUAGUGUCGGUGGUGGAAAGUUUUUCGGUGUGGGAUGAGCUCGCGGCCUAUCAGCUUGUUGGUGGGGUAAUGGCCUACCAAGGCGUCGACGGGUAGCCGGCCUGAGAGGGUGUACGGCCACAUUGGGACUGAGAGACGGCCCAGACUCCUACGGGAGGCAGCAGUGGGGAAUAUUGCACAAUGGGCGCAAGCCUGAUGCAGCGACGCCGCGUGGGGGAUGACGGCCUUCGGGUUGUAAACUCCUUUCGCCAAGGACGAAGCGUUUUGUGACGGUACUUGGAGAAGAAGCACCGGCUAACUACGUG